Candoia aspera is the source of this 1532-nucleotide long non-coding RNA. RefSeq lists it as uncharacterized. The record is from RefSeq and is a predicted model, not a curated record. Lineage: Eukaryota; Metazoa; Chordata; Lepidosauria; Squamata; Candoiidae. The transcript has 4 exons.
UUAUUUUUAUGCCAGCCAUGUGCUUGUUGAGGUUUGCGUUGUGACUUCUUCCCAGGUAACCUCCCCAACUAUCCAUCCACCCAACCAUUCCCGUCUGCUAAGGCUCAAAUAAUCCCUGUGCUUAAGUUGUCCCAUGCUGAGGAAGAGAAUGGGAGCCAGGAAGGAAACAUAUUGAAAGCAGAUGGAACUGAGUAUGAGUAUAUCUAUGCAGAGGAAGACUAUGAAGAGGGCCUGGUAGCAGAUGGGACUGAGAGCCCUAUGUUGAGGGAUGCUGACCCAUGCAUCUUGCAUCUGGAAGAGGGCGAGUGCAGCAAAUACACCCUAAGGUGGUACUAUAGCCAGAGAGUAUUGGAAUGUCGGCCCUUUAUCUACAGUGGCUGUGGAGGGAAUUCCAACCGCUUCAGCUCCAAGGAGGACUGUGAGCUUCACUGCAAGCCCCAGGCAGACACAGCAGGUAGUAGCACAGUGGAUAGAAACAAAGCUGUAUAAAAGUUGAAGCGAGUUUGGAGAACUGACGUACUGAAGAAAAGAAGAGUUGCAGCCUUUCAGGCUCCCUGCCAUUCUCAGCCUGCAUGAGGUCUUAGAGUGCUUGCUGCCAUUUUUACUGCCUGCAACACAGUUGCUCGUGGGUGCAUGUUCAUAUGAGUGUGUGUGUGCGCGCGUACAUCAUUCGUGUGUGGGCUGCUUCAGCUGGAGCAGAGAAAUGGUGCUAUUCUUUUUUUUAUAGUAGUUUUGUUGCUCUUGAUUUUUUUUUUAAAUUAAGGUUUUUUUUAAUCAAAUGGGAAAUAUAUGCAUACCGUCUUUUAUGUAUAAUAUAAAGAAAAGACAUAUUUUUAAUUAGAGUUCUUUAACUUAUUUGAUACUGGCUAACUAAUGACACAUGGAAUGUAUUAUGGCCAGACCAAAUUGAUUCUGCCUGCAACUUGCUUUAAUUCAGGGUUAUAGAUCUAUAUAUUAUUCCUCUGAGAGUAGAUUAAUAAGAAACCAACUAGACAGUAUCACCCAAGCUGAUCCUGAGAGGCUAAAAUGCACUUCCAUUCAUAAAGAUACAAAAGUCUUCUGAUUCACAGGCAAUGCUAGAGUUCUUUCCAUAAGUUUAUUUCAUUAUGAGCAGAGAUUAUUUCAAGAACUCCCCUUCCCUGUUUCUUCAUAGUUUAUUGUUAACAAAUAAAGUAUGGGGAAUACAGACUUUUUCUAAGCCUGAGAAUAACAUUGUCACAGAAUGGAAAAAUCUUCUCCCAAAGGAUUUCCUUUUCCCUGCCAUCAGUUUUCCAGUGCUCCUAGCGUACUAGUACCCCUUAAUCUUUCAACUUUUGAAUGUCAUUGCACUGGAUUCAUUUCUGAGUUGCUUUGUGCCCAGGCUCCAUGGAUUAAAACAUAGUGGUGGCAAGGCUGGCAAAAUUAAAAGUUGCAAAAAUUUAUAUAUUUUGUAAUAUGAAAAAUAAGUGAAAAAUUGGAUAUGAGUGUCAAGAAAAAUUCAUCGUCUAUUACCAAGAGCAGUAGAACUUCAACUGUGACUAAGAGUCAUUUCA